Molecule: ribosomal RNA, 253 nt
Filed under: uncultured bacterium
Lineage: Bacteria
Description: partial 16S ribosomal RNA
Rfam family: Bacterial small subunit ribosomal RNA
Source: RNAcentral
UACGAAGGGGGCUAGCGUUGUUCGGAAUUACUGGGCGUAAAGCGCGUGUAGGCGGGGCUUUAAGUCAGGGGUGAAAUGCCAAGGCUCAACCUUGGAACUGCCUUUGAUACUGGAGAGCUAGAGUCCGGAAGAGGUGAGUGGAACUGCGAGUGUAGAGGUGAAAUUCGUAGAUAUUCGCAAGAACACCAGUGGCGAAGGCGGCUCACUGGCUCGUAACUGACGCUCAUGCACGACAGCGUGGGGAUCAAACAGG